Molecule: ribosomal RNA, 514 nt
Filed under: uncultured Glomus
Lineage: Eukaryota; Fungi; Glomeromycota; Glomeromycetes; Glomerales; Glomeraceae
Description: SSU rRNA
Rfam family: Eukaryotic small subunit ribosomal RNA
Source: RNAcentral
AGCAGCCGCGGUAAUUCCAGCUCCAAUAGCGUAUAUUAAAGUUGUUGCAGUUAAAAAGCUCGUAGUUGAAUUUCGGGGUCAGCAGGUUGGUCGUGCCACUGGUAUGUACUGGCUUUGCUGAUUCCUCCUUCUUGUAGAACCGUAAUGCCAUUAAUUUGGUGUUGCGGGGAAACAGGACUGUUACUUUGAAAAAUUAGAGUGUUUAAAGCAGGCUAACGCUUGAAUACAUUAGCAUGGAAUAAUGAAAUAGGACGAGCGGUCCUAUUUUGUUGGUUUCUAGGAUUGACGUAAUGAUUAAUAGGGAUAGUUGGGGGCAUUAGUAUUCAAUUGUCAGAGGUGAAAUUCUUGGAUUUAUUGAAGACUAACUACUGCGAAAGCAUUUGCCAAGGAUGUUUUCAUUAAUCAAGAACGAAAGUUAGGGGAUCGAAGACGAUCAGAUACCGUCGUAGUCUUAACCAUAAACUAUGACGACUAGGGAUCGGAUGAUGUUAUUUAUAAUGACUCAUUCGGCGCC